CUUGGUCAUUUAGAGGAAGUAAAAGUCGUAACAAGGUUUCCGUAGGUGAACCUGCGGAAGGAUCAUUAUCGAAUGAAUCAAGAGUCGGUUGUAGCUGGCCCUCCGGGGCAUGUGCACGCCUUCUCUUUUAUCCACACACACCUGUGAACUCGUGAGACGGGAAGCCCCUCGGGGCGGCCCGUCUGCCCUUAUUAUAAACUCAUAUAUUGUAAAACGAAUGUACACGAUGUAAACACAUCUUUAAACUAAGUUUCAACAACGGAUCUCUUGGCUCUCGCAUCGAUGAAGAACGCAGCGAAAUGCGAUAAGUAAUGUGAAUUGCAGAAUUCAGUGAAUCAUCGAAUCUUUGAACGCACCUUGCGCUCCUUGGUAUUCCUCGGAGCAUGCCUGUUUGAGUAUCAUGAAAUCCUCAAAGCAAUACCUUUUGUUCAUUCGAUCGGUUUUGUUUUGGACUUGGAGGUCUGCAGAUUCACGUCUGCUCCUCUUAAAUAUAUUAGCUGGAUCUCGGUGAGCUCGGUUCCACUCGGCGUGAUAAGUAUCACUCGCUGAGGACACUGUUAAAAAGGUGGCCGGGAUUGCAGACGAACCGCUUCUAAUGGUCUAUUAGAUUAGACAAAUCACUCUUAUGAUUUGAUCUCAAAUCAGGUAGGACUACCCGCUGAACUUAAGCAUAUCAAUAAGCGGAGGAAAAGAAACUAACAAGGAUUCCCCUAGUAACGGCGAGUGAAGCGGGAAGAGCUCAAAUUUAAAAUCUGGCAGUGUAUUCUGUCCGAGUUGUAGUCUAGAGAAGCAUCAUCCGUGCUGGACCAUGUACAAGUCUCUUGGAACAGAGCGUCAUAGAGGGUGAGAAUCCCGUCCUUGACAUGGACUCCCAGUGCUUUGUGUUGUGCUCUCAACGAGUCGAGUUGUUUGGGAAUGCAGCUCAAAAUGGGUGGUAAAUUCCAUCUAAAGCUAAAUAUUGGCGAGAGACCGAUAGCGAACAAGUACCGUGAGGGAAAGAUGAAAAGCACUUUGGAGAGAGAGUUAAACAGUACGUGAAAUUGUUGAAAUGGAAACGAUUGAAGUCAGUCGCGUUCUCUGGGAUUCAGCCUUGCUUCUGCUUGGUGCAUUUCCUAGUCUACGGGCCAGCAUGGAUUUUGACCGUUGGAAAAGGGCUGGGGGAAUGUGGCACUUUCGGGUGUGUUAUAGCCCCCUGUCGGAUGCAUCGGUUGGGAUCGAGGACCUCAGUGCACGCUUCGGUUGUGCUUUGAUGCUGGCGUAAUGGCUUUAAACGACCCGUCUUGAAACACGGACC
This 1294-nucleotide ribosomal RNA is filed under the name uncultured fungus. RNAcentral describes it as "eukaryotic LSU rRNA". The stretch from base 632 to 1294 matches the Rfam family "Eukaryotic large subunit ribosomal RNA", at positions 1 to 667 of the family's 3401-position model. Lineage: Eukaryota; Fungi. The record is from RNAcentral.